AACGGCCGCGGUAUAUUGACCGUGCAAAGGUAGCAUAAUCAUUAGUCUUUUAAUAGAAGGCUGGAAUGAAAGGCUUGACGAGAAAUUGACUGUCUCAUUUUAAUUUANUAGAAUUUAGCUUUUAAGUUAAAAGGCUUAAAUGUUGUUGGAAGACGAGAAGACCCUAUAGAGCUUUAUAUUUUAUUAUAUNAAUAUUUAUUGUAUAUAAAUUGNNGUAUUAAUUANAUAAUUUAAUUUGUUGGGGUGACNUAAAAUUUAUGAUUAACUUUUANUAUAANUUAUACCACUAAUUUGUGANUUAAUAGAUCCGUUAUUAGCGAUUAAUAGAAUAAGUUACCUUA
RNAcentral lists this ribosomal RNA (341 nucleotides) under Philoganga vetusta. Its description in RNAcentral is "partial 16S ribosomal RNA". The record is from RNAcentral. Lineage: Eukaryota; Metazoa; Arthropoda; Insecta; Odonata; Diphlebiidae.